AUAGAUAGAGAGAGAAAAAAAAGAUUAGCAUUUGUAAUACCUACGACGACGUGGAGGCUGAGGAGAUUACUGAAAAUUGGGGAAUAGGGUUCGUUUUGCUUUCUGUUGACGGCAGGAAGCUGGUAAAGUAUAAGCAAAGACACACAAAGAGUGAAAUAAACUAAAAAAAAAAUUAAAGAAUAAUGAAAUCAAAGACGUGACGACAUUACCUGCCAUAAGAACCAGAUUUCGUGGCUGAGGAAAGAAAGUAAAGAAGAAAAGAUGUGGUGACGAGGCAUUAAAUUGAGCAGGGAUUUAUAGCAGUGAAGUAGAGAAGAAAAGAUGGAGAAAAUGCUUUGAAUAGAAGCAGAUUUACU
RNAcentral lists this long non-coding RNA (356 nucleotides) under Carica papaya (papaya). Its description in RNAcentral is "long non-coding RNA (CPAP_LNC016207)". The record is from RNAcentral. Lineage: Eukaryota; Viridiplantae; Streptophyta; Magnoliopsida; Brassicales; Caricaceae.